RNAcentral lists this ribosomal RNA (389 nucleotides) under uncultured bacterium. RNAcentral's name for it is "bacterial SSU rRNA". It matches the Rfam family "Bacterial small subunit ribosomal RNA", at positions 28 to 417 of the family's 1533-position model. The record is from RNAcentral.
GACGAACGCUGGCGGCGUGCUUAACACAUGCAAGUCGAGCGGUAAGGCCCUUUCGGGGGUACGACGAGCGGCGAACGGGCGAGUAACACGUGGGUGACCUGCCCUCAGCUCUGGGAUAAGCCUGGGAAACCGGGUCUAAUACUGGAUAUGACUCCAUGACGCAUGUUGUGGGGUGGAAAGCCUUGUGCGGCUGAGGAUGGGCCCGCGGCCUAUCAGCUUGUUGGUGGGGUGAUGGCCUACCAAGGCGACGACGGGUAGCCGGCCUGAGAGGGCGACCGGCCACACUGGGACUGAGACACGGCCCAGACUCCUACGGGAGGCAGCAGUGGGGAAUCUUGCGCAAUGGGCGAAAGCCUGACGCAGCGACGCCGCGUGAGGGAUGACGGCCU